RNAcentral lists this ribosomal RNA (441 nucleotides) under uncultured bacterium. RNAcentral describes it as "partial 16S ribosomal RNA". It matches the Rfam family "Bacterial small subunit ribosomal RNA", at positions 338 to 795 of the family's 1533-position model. The record is from RNAcentral.
CCUACGGGUGGCAGCAGUGGGGCAUAUUGCACAAUGGGGGGAACCCUGAUGCAGCGACGCCGCGUGGGUGAAGGAGUAUUUCGGUAUGUAAAGCCCUAUCAGCAGGGAAGAACAAUGACGGUACCUGACUAAGAAGCACCGGCUAAAUACGUGCACGCAGCCGCGGUAAUACGUAGGGUGUAAGCGUUAUUCGGAUGUACUGGGUGUACAGGGAGCGCAGGCGGGGCGUUAAGCCUGGUGUGAAAGCCCGCGGCCCAACCGCGGGACUGCAUUGGAAACUGGCGAGCUGGAGUGCCGGAGGGGUAGGCGGAAUUCCUGGUGUAGCAGUGAAAUGCGUAGAGAUUAGGAGGAACAUCAGUGGCGAAGGCGGCCUACUGGACGGUGACUGACGCUGAGGCGCGAAAGCGUGGGGAGCAAACAGGAUUAGAUACCCGAGUAGUC